GUCUCUGGCGAACCCCAGCCCUCUACCGCGAGGAAGCAUGGACCCCCGCACCCGCCGCCCAGCCCGCGCCGCCCCUCGGUCGCUCCGCCCGCCGCUGCCCGCUUGCUAUGGUCUUUUAAAUCCAUGAUACAACGUCUGUUUACAGAGGCUGGGAAACUGGGGACUGGACUUACAUGCCAGGAGCUUCUAAGAUCACACGCAAAAAUAAGGCUACUGGAAGAGAUUGUUGGAAUCUAUCUCUGUAUAUUUGAACAUGGGCAGUGGUUAACCAGGAUGCUCACACCAAGCUUAUAUCCAGCUUGCAGCACAAGCUACAAGUUGGUGCAUCCCUCCUACUACCAGCCUCCUCUCAAUAAAUGCAGGUGAAAACGGGGGGCUCUUUUCCCUCAGCUGUUCAAUCCAACAUGAAUAGUUGCAAUUUGCAAAUUAGAGGAAAAUGACAGUGUUUUCUCUGAAUGGUUUUGGUCCCAACGCACACUGCUAAUGCUGGCAUUCAGUUCCUUUCCUUCCCAGCCCAGGGAACGGGGGAACUAAGCAUAAGGCAGGCAUUCUCUUUUCUUGCAAGUGCCUCAGAUCCACACACCAGAGAAGGAAUCAGCUCCCCCUGGAAUCUUUUUCAGCAAACACAAUCCUUCACCUAGUCUGCAAGCUCUCUCUUGACUUUAAGAUUUCACUCUUUUUUCGACAGGCAGGCCCAUCUGCAAGCACCCAAGCUCCAAGUGAAGGCACCAAAAUAAUUUUUAAAAUGUCAAAGAGCAAAUGUGCCUUCAACACCCAGAGCUCCAGUAAAAAUACUGUGAGUUGCCCCUGUGGUUCUCAGGUGACCUCUGGCUUCAUCCUCCCUGCAGCGCUGCCUCCUCAGGUUCUCUAGUUUAAGCUCAGAGGUAAAGGAAGUGCUUCUGGGUUUUGCUUCCAACAACCCAGGCUCUUCCUGAAAGCAUUACCUCAAAGUGAAGGCUGCCCAGAAGCACUUUUGGCCUUGCAAACAUCUAGAGGUGGCAUACUCAACAGGUGCUAGGGAUGCUCAGAGGCUCAGAGGGGCCAUACCAGGCUGCAGCUUUAGGCAGGCACCCCUCCUUCUGGCACAAACACAAACUUCAUACCCCUGGGUGCUGAUGUAGUGACAGCUUGAAUCUCACAAGGAGUCCCCUCCAGAAACCCAACAUGCUUCAGGAAAGGCACUUGAGAGGGAGCCGACUUUUUAGCUACGGGGAGCAUAAGGGUCAGCCAGAACAUCUGGAGAAGGGACUAACUGAGCUUGGGUCCUACCAGGCAGGGAGAGAGCUGUGCAUUAGGAAAGGAUCACUUCAAGACAGAGAUGAACAAAAAACCUGGAGAUAGGGGUAGAGAAGGAAAAGAGAGGCAGAAAUUGAAAGGGAGAACAUAAAAACAGAGAGACAAAAAAAAAAAAGCAGGGAGAAAGAGACACAAGGAGAGAGACACACAGGAAGAAA
Molecule: long non-coding RNA, 1454 nt
Organism: Orcinus orca (killer whale)
Lineage: Eukaryota; Metazoa; Chordata; Mammalia; Artiodactyla; Delphinidae
Exons: 2
Source: RefSeq, a predicted model, not a curated record